UACGUAGGGGGCAAGCGUUGUCCGGAGUUACUGGGCGUAAAGCGCACGCAGGCGGUCUCUUAAGUUUGGAGUGACAGUUGGUGGUUUAACUGCCAAAGUGCUUCGAAAACUGAGAGACUUGAGGGCUUCAGAGGGACACGGAAUUCCGGGUGGAGUGGUGAAAUGCGUAGAGAUCCGGAGGAACACCAAAGGCGAAGGCAGUGUCCUGGGGAGUACCUGACGCUCAGGUGCGAAAGCCAGGGGAGCGAACAGG
This 253-nucleotide ribosomal RNA is filed under the name uncultured bacterium. RNAcentral's name for it is "partial 16S ribosomal RNA". It matches the Rfam family "Bacterial small subunit ribosomal RNA", at positions 524 to 776 of the family's 1533-position model. The record is from RNAcentral.